Long non-coding RNA from Ochotona princeps (American pika), 378 nucleotides. RefSeq lists it as uncharacterized. NCBI's taxonomy places the organism in Eukaryota, Metazoa, Chordata, Mammalia, Lagomorpha, Ochotonidae. The record is from RefSeq and is a predicted model, not a curated record. The transcript has 3 exons.
AAACAAACAGGGAAGGGUAGUCAGGUCGCAGAGGAACUUUGUUUCCUUGAUAUGUCUGAGGCACCGUUUAAACACAGCCAGACAUCAGCAUUCCAUGGCUUUCAUCAGAUCCGCCAAAGAACUAGUGACCCAGAAGACCCCCAGAAUAGAGGGCAGCUUCUCCCACUGAGCUCAGGGCCACCUUGAGGAGGGUGGGAAAGUUUUUAAAAUAUUUGUUGAACAUCUACUCUGGGUCAGUCCUUUUCCUCAGUAAUCGAAGUUAACUGCUGAACAAGAGGUCAGCCCUGUUGAAGCUAUCUUCUUGGGGAAGAGACAGACAAGUGAAUAUAUAAGCAAGGUAUGGGACUGGUAUUGUGGUGCAGUACUUUGGGCUGCCAU